RNAcentral lists this ribosomal RNA (497 nucleotides) under uncultured bacterium. RNAcentral's name for it is "partial 16S ribosomal RNA". It matches the Rfam family "Bacterial small subunit ribosomal RNA", at positions 28 to 507 of the family's 1533-position model. The record is from RNAcentral.
GAUGAACGCUGGCGGCGUGCCUAAUACAUGCAAGUCGAGCGAACAGACGAGGAGCUUGCUCCUCUGACGUUAGCGGCGGACGGGUGAGUAACACGUGGAUAACCUACCUAUAAGACUGGGAUAACUUCGGGAAACCGGAGCUAAUACCGGAUAAUAUAUUGAACCGCAUGGUUCAAUAGUGAAAGACGGUUUUGCUGUCACUUAUAGAUGGAUCCGCGCUGCAUUAGCUAGUUGGUAAGGUAACGGCUUACCAAGGCGACGAUGCGUAGCCGACCUGAGAGGGUGAUCGGCCACACUGGAACUGAGACACGGUCCAGACUCCUACGGGAGGCAGCAGUAGGGAAUCUUCCGCAAAGGGCGAAAGCUUGACGGAGCAACGCCGCGUGAGUGAUGAAGGUCUUCGGAUCGUAAAACUCUGUUAUUAGGGAAGAACAAAUGUGUAAGUAACUAUGCACGUCUUGACGGUACCUAAUCAGAAAGCCACGGCUAACUACGUG